This 207-nucleotide ribosomal RNA is filed under the name uncultured bacterium. RNAcentral describes it as "partial 16S ribosomal RNA". It matches the Rfam family "Bacterial small subunit ribosomal RNA", at positions 568 to 774 of the family's 1533-position model. The record is from RNAcentral.
CGCGUAGGCGGCGCAGACAGUCAGAUGUGAAAUUCCUGGGCUUAACCUGGGGGCUGCAUUUGAUACGUGUAUGCUUGAGUGGGGAAGAGGGUCGUGGAAUUCCCUGUGUAGAGGUGAAAUUCGUAGAUAUUGGGAAGAACACCGGUGGCGAAGGCGGCGACCUGGUCCUUGACUGACGCUGAGGCGCGAAAGCGUGGGGAGCAAACA